CACCCGCGCGAGGCCCCGGGGCGCGUCACGGCGGCGGCUGCGGCGGCUGCGGCGGCGACUUCCCGGCUCCCGCCCUCGCCCCGCACGCACGCGCACUGCGCCCGCCAUGAGGGUCGCUGCUCUGAUCAGUGGUGGGAAGGAUAGCUGUUACAAUAUGAUGCAGUGCAUUGCUGCUGGGCAUCAGAUUGUUGCUUUAGCAAAUCUGAGACCAGCUGAAAACCAAGUGGGAUCAGAUGAACUGGAUAGCUACAUGUAUCAGACAGUGGGUCAUCAUGCCAUUGAUUUGUAUGCAGAAGCGAUGGCCCUUCCCCUCUAUCGCCGCACCAUACGUGGAAGGAGUGUGGAUACAGGACGAGUGUACACCAGAUGUGAAGGUGAUGAGGUGGAAGAUCUCUAUGAGCUUUUGAAACUUGUUAAGGAAAAAGAAGAAGUAGAGGGGAUAUCAGUAGGUGCUAUACUUUCCGACUAUCAGCGUGUUCGAGUAGAAAAUGUGUGUAAAAGGCUUAAUCUCCAGCCUUUAGCUUACCUUUGGCAGAGAAACCAGGAAGAUUUGCUCCGAGAGAUGAUAUCAUCUAACAUUCAAGCAAUCAUCAUCAAAGUAGCAGCUUUGGGUUUAGAUCCAGAUAAGCAUCUUGGAAAAACCCUGGAUCAAAUGGAAUCUUAUCUCUUAGAGCUUUCUAAGAAGUACGGAGUCCAUGUUUGUGGAGAAGGUGGAGAGUAUGAAACAUUCACUUUGGAUUGCCCUCUAUUUAAGAAGAAAAUAAUUGUGGAUUCAUCAGAGGUGGUCACACAUUCAGCUGAUGCAUUUGCACCUGUUGCUUAUCUACGCUUUUUGGAAUUGCACUUGGAGGACAAGAUCAGGAAAUAAGACAUUCCCAAGAAUACAGAAAUCCUCCUCUCAGCUUCAUGACUUUCCUCGUCACUGUUCUUCCCCUCUCCUGACAGUAACCACCAUUCUCACAAUCAAUACCACAGUACCAUUAAAUCUAGGAGAAUGGAAUUGAAAAGGUAUCAUUUUGGUCCAUCUAUCUGAAAAGCAUGAAAAAUUUCUCAGCUGUUAACUCAGCAUAUGUGACCGCAUUCAAACUCUUCCUGCCUGUAAGGUUGCCUUGCCUAUCAUAAGGACAUAAAGAUUGGUGAUGGUCUCUCUCAUCCCAAAGAAAUCCUACACGUUCAGAGUACUUCUUAUUGGGCGCCUGCUAGCAAUGGACCAUAUGGCCAGUCUGUCAAGGAAGAACACGAGUGUCACAGCAAUGCCAGUAAUGACUCAGGCCAUAUCCUGCUGGUCGUAGUAGUUCUCCGUCUCCCCAGAGAGGCUGCUAUUAAAUGACAUAUCAUUGCAGUGGCCAACGAACCAUUUAGAAGGAAGCACUUUACUUUGAAGAAGAUAUCUGAGGGUUUUCAAGUUGAAUGUGAAACUGUGGCCCCCAGUUCUGUACCCAAGACACCGUGUCCCUUUCCUUAAAAUGGACAUCACCUUCUAUUUCCUCACCUGAUUCAAACAGGAUUCUAGAAGACCUGAUGACUGUGUUUCCACAGGCAAGAAGACUCUGAAAACAGCCAAGCCGCACCACUGUGUUUUAGAAGAUACUACAAAAAAACCAACCUUCAUGACAACGUCCUAGAGGCAGGUAAGGGAGCUAUUAGAAGCUGAAACGAAGUACAGACUGUGGAAUCCCAUCAUUGAGGACUAUCAGAGAGAGAGGGAGAAAACCUGAGCAGUGUGGGAGGCUUGGCCCCCAGUCCAGUCAGUGAGGGGGGCGGGAGAUGGGAGUGCAUUAUUUCCUUUGCUCAUCUCACUUCUCUUACACCUUUUGUGUGAACCCUUCACUACCCCAUGAGUGAUUUAAAGUGUUUAAAGAAAUUUACUUCUUUCAACUAUAUAACCCUCUAUUAUAUUCCAAACCAUGUUGUACACAUUAUAUACGUAGAUAUUAGUGCAGAGGUGUGUGUGCACAGUACCACGAGCACUACACUGGAGAGAUGAUCAACCCCACGUAAAUCUGACUCCACGGUACCCGCACGUAACGGAGGGCCAAAAUCUCACCCCCCAAACCAGCUCUGACUCAAACGGGAGCUCUACUACUGUGUCCCCAAGGCAUUUUACUAAAAGGGCUUCGAUCGUCCUCCCGAGAGAAAUGCAGCAGUGCACACUUGGUGUCUUUCUCUUUGUGCCUGGCUACCAAAGCAAGGGGGUUGAACCAAAAGGCACGCUUCAUUCUCCUGAAGCAAGUCAUGCUCAAGAGUCAAAACUCAAGGCCUAGCAACUGGCUGGUUUCCACUUGGAACGGCAACGGCAAGUUCUCAGUCUUUCCAGGCGGAUGGAAGUUUUGGUUUUCACUGGACCAGCCUCAUGUAAAUAGGACUGACUGAAUCUGAUUCAGAACAAUCAAUCCCAAUUUGAUGUACUAUUCCUUUAUCGUAUUAACCUAAAUUGUGUACAAAGCCCCUCAGUGGGUUUUAAAAUGCAGCAGUACCUCAGGCCUUGCUAUAGGUGUAUUUUAAUUCAAUAUUUGCAAAUUGAAUUGUGCUUUGAACGUUUUAUGGAGGUGAGCUUUUAAAAUGCAUCACUUCCUAUAUCAGAUACUUCUAAAGUAAAGUGAAUAGCAA
Molecule: RNA transcript, 2610 nt
Organism: Ailuropoda melanoleuca (giant panda)
Lineage: Eukaryota; Metazoa; Chordata; Mammalia; Carnivora; Ursidae
Gene: DPH6
Gene name: diphthamine biosynthesis 6
Exons: 12
Source: RefSeq, a predicted model, not a curated record